CCUACGGGAGGCAGCAGUGGGGGAUAUUGCACAAUGGGGGAAACCCUGAUGCAGCAACGCCGCGUGAGUGAAGAAGUCUUUCGGUAUGUUAAGCUCUAUCAGCAGGGUAGUGAAUGACGGUACCUGACUCAGAAGCCCCGGCUAACUACGUGCCAGCAGCCGCGGUAAUACGUAGGGGGCGAGCGUUAUCCGGAUUUACUGGGUGUAAAGGGAGCGUAGUCGGCUGGUCAAGUCUGAAGUGAAAUGCCGGGGCUUAACCCCGGAACUGCUUUGGAAACUGAGCAGCUAGAGUGCUGGAGAGGUAGGCGGAAUUCCUAGUGUAGCGGUGAAAUGCGUAGAUAUGAGGAGGAACACCAGUUGCGAAGGCGGCUUACUGGACAGGAACUGACGUUGAGGCUCGAAAGCGUGGGGAGCAAACAGGAUUAGAUACCCGAGUAGUC
RNAcentral lists this ribosomal RNA (440 nucleotides) under uncultured bacterium. RNAcentral's name for it is "partial 16S ribosomal RNA". It matches the Rfam family "Bacterial small subunit ribosomal RNA", at positions 338 to 795 of the family's 1533-position model. The record is from RNAcentral.